This 253-nucleotide ribosomal RNA is filed under the name uncultured bacterium. RNAcentral's name for it is "partial 16S ribosomal RNA". It matches the Rfam family "Bacterial small subunit ribosomal RNA", at positions 524 to 776 of the family's 1533-position model. The record is from RNAcentral.
UACAGAGGUCCCAAGCGUUGUUCGGAUUCAUUGGGCGUAAAGGGUGCGUAGGCGGCGCGGUAAGUCGGGUGUGAAAUUUCGGAGCUUAACUCCGAAACUGCAUUCGAUACUGCCGUGCUUGAGGACUGGAGAGGAGACUGGAAUUUACGGUGUAGCAGUGAAAUGCGUAGAGAUCGUAAGGAAGACCAGUGGCGAAGGCGGGUCUCUGGACAGUUCCUGACACUGAGGCACGAAGGCCAGGGGAGCAAACGGG